AGAAAAGUUUCAUCACAUUUUAUGCUGCAUAAAUCGUUCAAUAGCUCUUUUUAUUUUUUUAACUGUGGAGUUAAUGCUGAGUAGAGUUGUAACAGGCAUUUACCAAGGUACUAUCAAAGGACACAAUCAAAAUAUUGUAAGAAGCCUGGGCCCUGGGAUGACAGGCCUCGCGGAAGCGUAUGUUAGAUAUGCCAGCCCCACUGGUAAGCGCUGGGAUUGUGAAAGAAACACGUAACAGAAAUUGGAAGGACACACCACACCUGUGACCCUGGGGAAAGGCGAAGUCGAGUGGUAACACCAUUUCCCGAGGAAAUGAUACAAUUUUGC
Molecule: long non-coding RNA, 327 nt
Filed under: Equus caballus (horse)
Lineage: Eukaryota; Metazoa; Chordata; Mammalia; Perissodactyla; Equidae
Description: lncRNA (ENSECAG00000047280.1)
Source: RNAcentral